GUGGGCAGCGGCUCCGCGGGGCUCAUGAGUCUGAACACAGUGGCUGUCAUCAGAGGCGAGAGAGGAGGCCCCUGAGUCCCUACUGUUCCCAGAGCCUCCCGACCCUGGUGCCCGCCUGUCCACUGCUACUGGGUCAGAAGUGCACGCCUCUCCUCAGUCUUCUGUCCCUGGCCGCUGACCCGAGUCUUAGGUGACGCACUUGGCCACCAGCGGGGUCUGCUCUGACUCCUGCUUUCCCCUGGGCUCUGAAGGUGACGUUCAAGUGCAGCCCUGGCUUCCCCCUCAGUCGGGGCUGAAGCACCCCUUUCUGGGCCUCGAUUCAGGAAGAGCGUCAAAUGAGGACUUGUGAGGUUGUCACCAAGGGAGGAUCUACCAGUCCCUCUCCGUCUGUCUGCUGUCUCUCCACCCGUCCAUCUCUGGGUGGUAAUCUGCUCACCUCCAGAGGCACCGAGACAUGUUGCUGGGUUCAGUACUCCAUGCGAGGCCCUCAUAGGCGCAGACGUGCUCGGCGAGCCCAGGGACAGAAGUGCCACAGUUGGCGCCAGGGGACCGCUGAACCUGCAGGACAGGCGGCCAUGCAGGGUCUCUGCCCAGCCCCCCAGAGGUCCUCUGGGCCCUGCCAGAUGACAAGGCCCUGCCAGCUCCUGUCCCCAUUAUUGCAUGGGACACAGUUAUACUAACACCACAUGUUUGUGGCUUAUCUCACUCCUCCGCUCUCGGCUGGUGCUUUCUGGAAGAACCUCUCAAAUAAAGCCCUU
RNAcentral lists this long non-coding RNA (758 nucleotides) under Urocitellus parryii (Arctic ground squirrel). RNAcentral describes it as "lncRNA (ENSUPAG00010021990.1)". Lineage: Eukaryota; Metazoa; Chordata; Mammalia; Rodentia; Sciuridae. The record is from RNAcentral.